CAGCCGAUGGAUAGUCAGUAAAGAAUCAGAAUUACCUGGAAAGGUAAGCCGGAGAGGGUGACAGCCCCGUACGAGUAGAAAAGCUGACUGUUCUUGAGUAAGGCGGAGCACGAGAAAUUCUGUCUGAAAAUGGGGAGACCACUCUCCAAGGCUAAGUACUACUGAUUGACCGAUAGUGAACAAGUACCGUGAGGGAAAGGUGAAAAGCACCCCUAUAAGGGGAGUGAAAGAGAACCUGAAACCGGAUGCCUACAAGCAGUCGGAGGGUCUAUAAGGCCUGACGGCGUACCUUUUGUAUAAUGGGUCAGCGACUUAAUUUAUGUAGCAAGCUUAAGCCGAUAGGUGUAGGCGUAGAGAAAUCGAGUGUUAACAGCGCGUUAAGUUACAUGAAUUAGACCCGAAACCGAGUGAUCUAGCCAUGAUCAGGUUGAAGGUUGGGUAACACCAACUGGAGGACCGAACCCACUCCCGUUGAAAAGGUAGGGGAUGAAUUGUGGCUAGGGGUGAAAGGCCAAUCAAACUCGGAAAUAGCUGGUUCUCCGCGAAAACUAUUUAGGUAGUGCGGUGAGCGGACACCUUGAGGGGUAGAGCACUGGAAGAGCUAAGGGGGAGCGAUCCUUACUAAACUUUACCAAACUCCGAAUACUCAAGAGUGAUACUCACCAGACAGACAUUAGGUGCUAAGGUCUAGUGUCGAGAGGGAAAGAGCCCAGACCGCCAAUUAAGGUCCCAAAAUUAUGGCUAAGUGGUAAAGGAAGUGAAACGUCCAAAACAGUCAGGAGGUUGGCUUAGAAGCAGCCAUCCUUUAAAGAAAGCGUAAUAGCUCACUGAUCUAAAUAAGACGUCUUGCGCCGAAGAUGUAACGGGGCUAAAGCCAUAUACCGAAGUUGCGGAUUUACACGUUAAAGUGUAAGUGGUAGCGGAGCGUUCUGUAAGCCUGCGAAGGUGUACCGUAAGGUAUGCUGGAGGUAUCAGAAGUGAGAAUGCUGACAUGAGUAGCGAAAAGAAGAGUGAGAGACUCUUCCGCUGAAAGUCCAAGGUUUCCUGCGUAAAGCUAAUCUGCGCAGGGUUAGUCGGUCCCUAAGGCGAGGCAGAGAUGCGUAGUCGAUGGCAAUCAGGUUAAUAUUCCUGAACCGGCCCGGAAGUGACGGAUUGAGUAAAUUGUAAGUUCUUAUUGGAUUGAGCUUGCAGUGAAUCAGUCCCAGGAAAUAGCCCGGGCUAAGACCGUACCCGAAACCGACACAGGUGGACAGGUAGAGAAUACCAAAGCGCUUGAGAGAACUAUGUUGAAGGAACUAGGCAAAAUACUUGCGUAACUUCGGGAUAAGCAAGCCCCAUUUUAAGGCAACUUAGGGUGGGGGGCACAUACUAGGGGGUAGCGACUGUUUACUAAAAACACAGGGCUCUGCUAAAUUGAAAGAUGAAGUAUAGGGUCUGACGCCUGCCCGGUGCUGGAAGGUUAAGGAGAGAUGUGCAAGCAUUGAACUGAAGCCCCAGUAAACGGCGGCCGUAACUAUAACGGUCCUAAGGUAGCGAAAUUCCUUGUCGGGUAAGUUCCGACCUGCACGAAUGGCGUAACGACUUCCCCGCUGUCUCCAACAUAGGCUCAGCGAAAUUGAACUCUGAGUUAAGAUGCUCAGUACCCGCGGUUAGACGGAGAGACCCCGUGAACCUUUACUAUAGCUUUGCAGUGGUAUUAGGUAACAAAUGUGUAGAAUAGGUGGGAUGCUAUGAAGCUACGACGCCAGUUGUAGUGGAGCAGACUUUGAAAUACCACCCUUUUGUUGUUUGAUAUCUAACCUGCUCCCGUUAUCCGGGAGAGGGACCCUGCAUGGUGGGUAGUUUGACUGGGGCGGUCGCCUCCCAAAGAGUAACGGAGGCGCGCAAAGGUUGGCUCAGAUUGGUCAGAAAUCAAUCGUUGAGUGCAAUGGCAUAAGCCAGCCUGACUGCGAGAGCGACGGUUCGAGCAGAUACGAAAGUAGGUCAUAGUGAUCCGGUGGUCCCGAGUGGAAGGGCCAUCGCUCAACGGAUAAAAGGUACUCCGGGGAUAACAGGCUGAUACCGCCCAAGAGUUCACAUCGA
RNAcentral lists this ribosomal RNA (2082 nucleotides) under human gut metagenome. RNAcentral describes it as "bacterial LSU rRNA". It matches the Rfam family "Bacterial large subunit ribosomal RNA", at positions 295 to 2508 of the family's 2925-position model. The record is from RNAcentral.